GACGAACGCUGGCGGCGUGCCUAACACAUGCAAGUCGAACGGAAAGGCCCUGCUUUUGUGGGGUGCUCGAGUGCCGAACGGGUGCGUAACACGUGAGUAACCUGCCCUUGACUUUGGGAUAACUUCAGGAAACUGGGGCUAAUACCGGAUAGCAGCCCCUGCUGCAUUGUGGGGGUUGGAAAGUUUCGGCGGGUGGGGAUGGACUCGCGGCUUAUCAGCUUGUUGGUGGGGUAGUGGCUUACCAAGCCUUUGACGGGUAGCCGGCCUGAGAGGGUGACCGGCGACAUUGGGACUGAGAUACGCCGCAGACUCCUACAGGAGACAGCGGUGGCGAAUAUUGCACAAUGGGCGGGAGCCUGAUGCAGCGACGCCGCGUGCGGGAUGACGGCCUUCUGGUUGUGAACCGCUUUCGCCUAUGACGAAGCGUGAGUGACGGUAAUGGGUAAAGAAGCACCGGCUAACUACGUG
RNAcentral lists this ribosomal RNA (468 nucleotides) under uncultured bacterium. RNAcentral's name for it is "partial 16S ribosomal RNA". It matches the Rfam family "Bacterial small subunit ribosomal RNA", at positions 28 to 507 of the family's 1533-position model. The record is from RNAcentral.